GUUUUGUUCAAAUUCUCUCACAUUCUAUAAAGGCUUAAUAACUAAAAAAAGCCAUACAUUUUUGUGUUUUCUCAAUUUUAUCCACAACUUUAUCCCAAUUGCCAAAGCUUACUGCAAUUGUAUCCAAUUUUUUCUAACCUAGCCUUCCACUCCAUUUUCCAACCGAUCCACGACCACUCAUGAAAAUGAAACCCCAUCACUAUUACAAGUACCUCCCAAGUUUCUUUUUGAAGCCCAUAGUGCAUCAACAUUCAUAGUCUUUUGGCCAGAUCAUAUGGUUUUGUUCA
This 287-nucleotide unclassified non-coding RNA is filed under the name Hevea brasiliensis (rubber tree). The record is from RNAcentral. Lineage: Eukaryota; Viridiplantae; Streptophyta; Magnoliopsida; Malpighiales; Euphorbiaceae.